RNAcentral lists this ribosomal RNA (327 nucleotides) under Fidelibacterota bacterium. Its description in RNAcentral is "partial 23S ribosomal RNA". It matches the Rfam family "Bacterial large subunit ribosomal RNA", at positions 2604 to 2925 of the family's 2925-position model. The record is from RNAcentral. Lineage: Bacteria; Pseudomonadati; Fidelibacterota.
GCUGGGUUUAGAACGUCGUGAGACAGUUCGGUCUCUAUCCGCCGUGGGCACAAGAGAUUUGAGGGAAUCUGCAUCUAGUACGAGAGGACCGAUGUGGACGAACCUCUGGUGCACCAGUUGUCUCAUCAGAGGCAUCGCUGGGUAGCUAUGUUCGGACAGGAUAAGCGCUGAAAGCAUAUAAGUGCGAAGCCUAUCCCAAGAUGAGAUCUCUCUACCGUUAAGGUAAUAAGGCUCGUUGGAGACUACAACGUUGAUAGGCCACAGGUGUAAGUUCAGUAAUGAAUUCAGCCGAGUGGUACUAAUAUGCCGAAUGGCUUUAUCAAUCUU